CCCUCUGCAGCCCCUUUAAGAGCCUGCCAGCUGUUAUGAAGUGGUGGCGGGACCACUACGACUUACCCAGUGUUUGUGCUCCCUGAAUGCUGGGAUUCUGGCUCACACCAUGCAGUGUAAAAGUGUCCUGGAUUGGUUGUCAGAACAGCAAUCAAACCCUGAACCUAAACAUCUGAGCCUCUACAGUCUGAACUAAAAAACCUGCAGCUGUUAGCCUGAAGAGAGUAGCAGACUUACGAAGCUCUCUGCAGUCCAGCCACUGGAAGGAGACACCGAGCCACGGUUAUAUGUUCAUCAGAUCUGUAUAGUUCCCUGCUUGACACCAAGGAAGACAAAGGACGAGACGUUUUCAGUAUCCAGCCCCAAGGAAUAUCCCUGUGGGAUUACCGGCAGCUCCACAUACCAUUGAAAAAGGAAGAUUAAAAGU
Mauremys mutica (yellowpond turtle) is the source of this 427-nucleotide long non-coding RNA. RefSeq lists it as uncharacterized. Lineage: Eukaryota; Metazoa; Chordata; Testudines; Geoemydidae. The record is from RefSeq and is a predicted model, not a curated record. The transcript has 3 exons.